RNAcentral lists this small RNA (270 nucleotides) under Cavia porcellus (domestic guinea pig). Its description in RNAcentral is "7SK RNA (ENSCPOG00000029470.2)". It matches the Rfam family "7SK RNA". Rfam says of the family: 7SK was discovered as an abundant small nuclear RNA in the mid-70s but a possible function has only recently been suggested. Two independent studies have found that 7SK RNA binds the CDK9/cyclin T complex (known as elongation factor P-TEFb). P-TEFb activates transcription by phosphorylating the C-terminal domain of RNA polymerase II. The record is from Rfam by way of RNAcentral. Lineage: Eukaryota; Metazoa; Chordata; Mammalia; Rodentia; Caviidae.
GGAUGUGAAGGCAGUAUGGCUGUGACAUGUCAGCCCUUUGAUCAUCCAUGCUGAUGCAGCUGAUCUGGUGGGCUCAACGGGUAACCUCUUUCUCCCUCACAGCUCCAGGUGCAUCCUUCUCAAAGCUACAUGCUGGGGGGGGCACCCACCCUCAUAGAGAGGAGGGCUGUUUCUUUGGUCAAAGGUAUAUGAAUAUCCUGUAGUACUCCCACGAUCUUGUUUUGACUGAUUAGACUCUGUUCCAUUCUAUAUGAUAGUAUCAAGUUUGAA